This 497-nucleotide ribosomal RNA is filed under the name uncultured bacterium. RNAcentral's name for it is "partial 16S ribosomal RNA". It matches the Rfam family "Bacterial small subunit ribosomal RNA", at positions 28 to 507 of the family's 1533-position model. The record is from RNAcentral.
GAUGAACGCUGGCGGCGUGCCUAAUACAUGCAAGUCGAGCGAACAGACGAGGAGCUUGCUCCUCUGACGUUAGCGGCGGACGGGUGAGUAACACGUGGAUAACCUACCUAUAAGACUGGGAUAACUUCGGGAAACCGGAGCUAAUACCGGAUAACAUGUUGAACCGCAUGGUUUAACAGUGAAAGACGGUCUUGCUGUCACUUAUAGAUGGAUCCGCGCCGCAUUAGCUAGUUGGUAAGGUAACGGCUUACCAAGGCAACGAUGCGUAGCCGACCUGAGAGGGUGAUCGGCCACACUGGAACUGAGACACGGUCCAGACUCCUACGGGAGGCAGCAGUAGGGAAUCUUCCGCAAUGGGCGAAAGCCUGACGGAGCAACGCCGCGUGAGUGAAGAAGGUCUUCGGAUUGUAAAACUCUGUUAUUAGGGAAGAACAAAUGUGUAAGUAACUAUGCACGUCUUGACGGUACCUAAUCAGAAAGCCACGGCUAACUACGUG